This 1099-nucleotide long non-coding RNA is filed under the name Equus caballus (horse). RNAcentral describes it as "lncRNA (ENSECAG00000035292.3)". The record is from RNAcentral. Lineage: Eukaryota; Metazoa; Chordata; Mammalia; Perissodactyla; Equidae.
GCAUAGGAAAUCAUUAAAAGGGCUCAGAUACCACUCGAUGGAAAGAACUCAAUUAGUACCAAACCUCUGUGCAGCAGCACUGGGUGCUGGAAGACCAUGUAACAAUGACUUUAACCCUUGAGUUCUCUAUCCGGAAAUAUUCUCAGUUAAAAGGAUUAUUUGCAGACAGAGGAAAACAUCCUUAUCUAUAGCUCCAAUCCUCAUCUCUUCAGAAACUGCUCCUGAAAAAGGCCUGAAAAUAACGUAGACAAAGUUUAGCCAAUGGAAAACAACAACGGACCUAAUUCAAAUGAGUAAUUCACCCUUUGGAUUUGGGUUGGAGAUAUCUGAAGUGAGUCAGAACUGAACAGAAGUCACUAUUUAGGACAUAUUUUCCCCAGAGUGUGAAACAGGAUUAGGAAAUCCUGAAUCAAUCCAAGUAACUGCAUGGAAAGCUUCAGCGUGGAUGUGGUGUAGGAGUAGCUUCCGGGAAUAGUCCUGCAGCCCACUGUGCUAACUGACCUGGCCUUGUGACAUGAAAGUGUGAGGCCAGGGGUUUUCCCUUCUCAAGGUGGGGAGAUUCUUUUGGCUGCAGUUCCCACACAUGCUCCAGAAGGAUACAGGGAGAAUAAGGAGCGAAAACAAGCAUUUGAUACCAGCAGAAACCAACAAUAAGGGAGUGCAGCAAGGAAGCUGGUGCCAGAUCCGAGAUCCCUCCUCUCGUCCCACCUCACUUGUGCUUUCUGCUCUCAUGAAGUCAUCACUGGGAAGCCAACACUGGCAGCAGGAGAGGAUAUCCUGAGAUCUGGCCUGCAGUCUGACAAUACCUUUUUGGCACAUGCACUCCCAUCCCCAGCUGCAACAACAAAAACGUCUUCAGACAUUGUCAGUGUCUCCUGGGGAGCCCCUGGUUGAGAACAACUAUUCUAGACCAAGAUUUUCUGAAGGACCCCAAACAUCGUACGAUUGACCGGUUCUCAUAUUGAGUGUACAUCAACAUCUCCUAGAAGAACUCUGGAAGAUCCAUUUUAUCAAUGUUCUGGAUUGUGUUUAAUAUAAAAGCUUCGGUUUUCAAGUUAGUCAAGAUUGCAGAGAAAAGGGAGAAAUGGAAGAUAGUGAG